This 253-nucleotide ribosomal RNA is filed under the name uncultured bacterium. RNAcentral describes it as "partial 16S ribosomal RNA". It matches the Rfam family "Bacterial small subunit ribosomal RNA", at positions 524 to 776 of the family's 1533-position model. The record is from RNAcentral.
UACGUAGGGGGCAAGCGUUGUCCGGAUUUACUGGGCGUAAAGAGCGUGUAGGCGGCCACGCAGGUCCGUUGUGAAAACUGGAGGCUCAACCUUCAGACGUCGACGGAAACCGUAUGGCUAGAGUCCGGAAGAGGAGAGUGGAAUUCCUGGUGUAGCGGUGAAAUGCGCAGAUAUCAGGAAGAACACCCGUGGCGAAGGCGGCUCUCUGGGACGGUACUGACGCUGAGACGCGAAAGCGUGGGGAGCGAACAGG